GACGAACGCUGGCGGCGUGCUUAACACAUGCAAGUCGAACGGAAAGGCCCUGCUUUCGUGGGGUGCCCGAGUGGAGAACGGGUGAGUAACACGUGAGUAACCUGCCUUUGACUUUGGGAUAACUUCAGGAAACUGGGGCUAAUUCCGGAUAGGCGUUCCUGCUGCAUGGUGGGGGUUGGAAAGUUUCGGCGGUGGGGGAUGGACUCGCGUCUUAUCAGCUUGUUGGUGGGGUAGUGGUAUACCAAGGCUUUGACGGGUAGCCGGCCUGAGAGGGUGACCGGCCACGGUGGGACUGAGAUACGGCCCAGACUCCUACGGGAGGCAGCAGUGGGGAAUAUUGCACAAGGGGCGGAAGCCUGAUGCAGCAACGCGGCGGGCGGGAUGACGGCCCUCGGGUUGUAAACCGCUUGCGCCUGUGACGAAGCGUGAGUGACGGUAAUGGGUAAAGAAGCACCGGCUAACUACGUG
This 468-nucleotide ribosomal RNA is filed under the name uncultured bacterium. RNAcentral's name for it is "partial 16S ribosomal RNA". It matches the Rfam family "Bacterial small subunit ribosomal RNA", at positions 28 to 507 of the family's 1533-position model. The record is from RNAcentral.